ACGAACGCUGGCGGCGUGCUUAACACAUGCAAGUCGAACGGAAAGGCCCUGCUUUUGUGAGGUGCUCGAGUGGCGAACGGGUGAGUGACACGUGAGUAACCUGCCCUUGACUUUGGGAUAACUUCAGGAAACUGGGGCUAAUACCGGAUAGGAGCUCCUGCUGCAUGGUGGGGGUUGGAAAGUUUCGGCGGUUGGGGAUGGACUCGCGGCUUAUCAGCUUGUUGGUGGGGUAGUGGCUUACCAAGGCUUUGACGGGUAGCCGGCCUGAGAGGGUGACCGGCCACAUUGGGACUGAGAUACGGCCCAGACUCCUACGGGAGGCAGCAGUGGGGAAUAUUGCACAAUGGGCGGAAGCCUGAUGCAGCAACGCCGCGUGCGGGAUGACGGCCUUCGGGUUGUAAACCGCUUUCGCCUGUGACGAAGCGUGAGUGACGGUAAUGGGUAAAGAAGCACCGGCUAACUACGUG
This 467-nucleotide ribosomal RNA is filed under the name uncultured bacterium. Its description in RNAcentral is "partial 16S ribosomal RNA". It matches the Rfam family "Bacterial small subunit ribosomal RNA", at positions 29 to 507 of the family's 1533-position model. The record is from RNAcentral.